AAUAUGCUACAGCCAACAUACACCUCAGGAUUUCGAAUGGCUAGGAGACCGAGUUAUGGUGUAGUCAAACUAUAAUACACUCAAGGUAAACUGUCGAUGCACCUCAGGUUAAAGAACUAGACACACAACUGCAGCAUCGAGCUAGUCAUCGAUGAGAAGGUAGACUUCCUUAUGACUGCUCAAGAUGGUCAUGCUCAGUACUCUC
RNAcentral lists this long non-coding RNA (205 nucleotides) under Elaeis guineensis (African oil palm). RNAcentral describes it as "long non-coding RNA (EGUI_LNC076605)". The record is from RNAcentral. Lineage: Eukaryota; Viridiplantae; Streptophyta; Magnoliopsida; Arecales; Arecaceae.